UGUCGGCGUCUGCGCAGAGGGCCCCUUCCGCCUGCGCGCUGGCCCCUCCUAGUCAGUGACUGUCGUGCCGUCUGCCGCGUUCAGCUGCAUCCAAAAUGGCCGACAAGAAGGACGACUCGCGGGGCGACAUCGAGAGUAAGGAGCUGCUGGGCACCUACGGCAUCCUGGUGGCUUUCCUGCUCUUCAUCUACGUGCUGUACAACGUCAUCUACUGAGGUGGUGUCCACCGGGCGCAGCCGGCGCUCAUGCCGGACACAAGGCCACCGGAAGCGAUGACAGCGUGCCGUCAAGUCGAGCUGCUCUUGUCUUCUCAGCGUGCCGUCAAGUCGAGCUGCUCUUGGCUUCUCUGUGGUUGGCCGACCCCAUCAGCCGAGCAGAAGGGUGCCAGUCAGCUGCGAUGACGUUUGAAGGCGCGGGCGGCACGUGCCCAGCCCGUCACUGCCGCUCGACGGGCGCCAAUUGGCCUUUGGCAGCCGAUGGCGUUGAUGUGUUUUCAUUCGAAGAAUGACGCGUCGACUUCGGCGAGAAAAUACACAGCGCUGCCACCAGUGUUGGGCCAUGUUUCGCGCUGGGAAAUCGAUCGAGAGAUGUUUCGACAGAUGACGUGCCUGUCAAUCACGUUGCAUGAUCCUGUCCGGCCGCGGCAGAGCGAUGACCGAUGUGACUGGAUUAGAAUAGGCGGGCGGAUGCACUGCAUCGCGUAGUUUUACCUUUUUAUACAGAAAUACGGAGGGAAUGGAUACAUGCAGCACCUAUUGCCAGACAGUUACAGAAGAGCGAAUGCAGCGUGCAGAGCAAGGAUGUUUGGGCAAAUUAUCCCACACAGUUUGAUAUGAUCAGUGAGCGUGUUUUGCGGCCUGACCUGCGUGUCCCCGUCCUUUCAAAAUGUAGCGAAGAUUUGUUAUGAAAAGUAUCCUCAGCAGUUGUUCGAGCAACGGUCGUGUUGGUAGAAUACCAGUUGUUUCUCGAAUGGGGACUUAAUCUAAUUACAUGGACACAUGGCCAUGGACAGGCCAUUACGUGGCCUGUCCUCGUCUCGUCUCCUGGGAUCCCUGUGCGGCGUGCCUUUGCAAUAAGCAGUGUGUCAACUUAUAGUCCUGCACAAGGCAUAUAAAGUGAAGUAAAUGUGCUUCUCGCAAUACAUGGCUGGAAUAAAA
Molecule: long non-coding RNA, 1157 nt
Organism: Pollicipes pollicipes
Lineage: Eukaryota; Metazoa; Arthropoda; Thecostraca; Pollicipedomorpha; Pollicipedidae
Exons: 2
Source: RefSeq, a predicted model, not a curated record